UUUCAGACUCAGCCCACCUGCACCAGGUGAUUAAAAAGCUUUAUUGCUCACACAAAUCCUGUUGGUGGACUCUCUUCACACGGAUGCACUUGACAUUUUGUGCUGAAGACCCAGGACAGGAGGACUCCUUCGAGAGACCAGUCCCCCAUCCUUGCCCUCACUCGGUGAGGAGAUCUACCUAUGACCUCAGGUCCUCAGACCAACCAGCCCAAGGAACAUCUCACCAAUUUCAGAUCGGAGACAGAGGAGAUGCAUUUUAUCUGUGAACUCAAAACUCCAGCGCUGGUCACAGACUCGGGAAGACAGUCUUCCCUUGGUGUUUAAUCACUGCGGGGACGCCUGCCUGAUUAUUCACCCACAUUUCAGAGGUGUCUGAUCACCAUGGGGAUGCCUGCCUUGAUCCUUCACCUUGGUGAUCUUCUCAGCUUAGCGGCUGAAGACUGACGCUGCCCGAUUGAUUGCCUGGGAAGCCUCCUGGACCAUCACAGACGCCUUGGGUAACUCUUACAGUGGAGGACAGGAAUGUCAGGCCGGCCUCUGAGCCCAAGCAUGCAUGUAUACAUCCAGAUGGCCUGAGGCAACUGAAGAACCACAAAAGAAGUGAAAAUGGCUAGUUCCUGCCUUAACUGAUGACAUUACCUUGUGACAUUCCUUCUCCGGGACAGUGAGUCUCCGGAGCUCCCCACUGAGCACCUUGUGACCCCCGCCCCUGCCCGCAAGAGAACAACCCCCUUUAACUGUAAUUUUCCACCACCUACCCAAAUCCUAAAAAACGGCCCCACUCCUAUCUCCCUUUGCUGACUCCUUUUUCGGACUCAGCCAACCUGCACCCAGGUGAUUAAAAAGCUUUAUUUCUCACCCAAA
RNAcentral lists this long non-coding RNA (864 nucleotides) under Homo sapiens (human). RNAcentral describes it as "HSALNT0292250". Lineage: Eukaryota; Metazoa; Chordata; Mammalia; Primates; Hominidae. The record is from RNAcentral.